GCCAGCAUGGUGUAGUGAUUUGAGUGUCAGACUGUGACUCUGGAGACCAGGGUUUGAAUCCCUGCUCAGUCA
RNAcentral lists this transfer RNA (72 nucleotides) under Phrynosoma platyrhinos (Desert horned lizard). RNAcentral's name for it is "tRNA-OTHER". The stretch from base 9 to 72 matches the Rfam family "tRNA". From Rfam's summary of the family: Transfer RNA (tRNA) molecules are approximately 80 nucleotides in length. Their secondary structure includes four short double-helical elements and three loops (D, anti-codon, and T loops). Further hydrogen bonds mediate the characteristic L-shaped molecular structure. tRNAs have two regions of fundamental functional importance: the anti-codon, which is responsible for specific mRNA codon recognition, and the 3' end, to which the tRNAs corresponding amino acid is attached (by aminoacyl-tRNA synthetases). tRNAs cope with the degeneracy of the genetic code in two manners: having more than one tRNA (with a specific anti-codon) for a particular amino acid; and 'wobble' base-pairing, i.e. permitting non-standard base-pairing at the 3rd anti-codon position. Lineage: Eukaryota; Metazoa; Chordata; Lepidosauria; Squamata; Phrynosomatidae. The record is from RNAcentral.